CCUACGGGAGGCAGCAGUGAGGAAUAUUGGUCAAUGGGCGGGAGCCUGAACCAGCCAAGUCGCGUGAGGGAAGACGGUCCUAUGGAUUGUAAACCUCUUUAGGCGGGGAGCAAUGCCGGGCACGUGUGCCCGGAGGGAGAGUACCCGCAGAAUAAGCAUCGGCUAACUCCGUGCCAGCAGCCGCGGUAAGACGGAGGAUGCGAGCGUUAUCCGGAUUGAUUGGGUUUACGGGGUGCGUAGGCGGAUUUUUAAGUCAGAGGGAAAGGGUCGGGGCUGAACUGGGGACGGCCGGUGAGACUGGGGAGCUUGAGUGGGCGAGAGGGAGGGGGAAUGCGUGGUGUAGCGGUGAAAUGCAUAGAUAUGACGAAGAACUCCGAUUGCGAAGGCAGCAUACCGGCGCCCGACUGACGCUGAGGCACGAAAGCGUGGGGAUCGAACAGGAUUAGAUACCCUUGUAGUC
Molecule: ribosomal RNA, 460 nt
Filed under: uncultured bacterium
Lineage: Bacteria
Description: partial 16S ribosomal RNA
Rfam family: Bacterial small subunit ribosomal RNA
Source: RNAcentral